GACGAUUCCUACGGGAGGCAGCAGUAGGGAAUCUUCCGCAAUGGACGAAAGUCUGACGGAGCAACGCCGCGUGAGUGAUGAAGGCUUUCGGGUCGUAAAACUCUGUUGUAAGGGAAGAACAAGUACAGUAGUAACUGGCUGUACCUUGACGGUACCUUAUUAGAAAGCCACGGCUAACUACGUGCCAGCAGCCGCGGUAAU
RNAcentral lists this ribosomal RNA (201 nucleotides) under Bacillus sp. enrichment culture DGGE gel band gz-20d-1. RNAcentral describes it as "partial 16S ribosomal RNA". It matches the Rfam family "Bacterial small subunit ribosomal RNA", at positions 331 to 524 of the family's 1533-position model. The record is from RNAcentral. Lineage: Bacteria; Bacillati; Bacillota; Bacilli; Caryophanales; Bacillaceae.